Molecule: ribosomal RNA, 958 nt
Filed under: Lacticaseibacillus casei
Lineage: Bacteria; Bacillati; Bacillota; Bacilli; Lactobacillales; Lactobacillaceae
Description: bacterial SSU rRNA
Rfam family: Bacterial small subunit ribosomal RNA
Source: RNAcentral
AGAGUUUGAUCAUGGCUCAGGAUGAACGCUGGCGGCGUGCCUAAUACAUGCAAGUCGAACGAGUUCUCGUUGAUGAUCGGUGCUUGCACCGAGAUUCAACAUGGAACGAGUGGCGGACGGGUGAGUAACACGUGGGUAACCUGCCCUUAAGUGGGGGAUAACAUUUGGAAACAGAUGCUAAUACCGCAUAGAUCCAAGAACCGCAUGGUUCUUGGCUGAAAGAUGGCGUAAGCUAUCGCUUUUGGAUGGACCCGCGGCGUAUUAGCUAGUUGGUGAGGUAAUGGCUCACCAAGGCGAUGAUACGUAGCCGAACUGAGAGGUUGAUCGGCCACAUUGGGACUGAGACACGGCCCAAACUCCUACGGGAGGCAGCAGUAGGGAAUCUUCCACAAUGGACGCAAGUCUGAUGGAGCAACGCCGCGUGAGUGAAGAAGGCUUUCGGGUCGUAAAACUCUGUUGUUGGAGAAGAAUGGUCGGCAGAGUAACUGUUGUCGGCGUGACGGUAUCCAACCAGAAAGCCACGGCUAACUACGUGCCAGCAGCCGCGGUAAUACGUAGGUGGCAAGCGUUAUCCGGAUUUAUUGGGCGUAAAGCGAGCGCAGGCGGUUUUUUAAGUCUGAUGUGAAAGCCCUCGGCUUAACCGAGGAAGCGCAUCGGAAACUGGGAAACUUGAGUGCAGAAGAGGACAGUGGAACUCCAUGUGUAGCGGUGAAAUGCGUAGAUAUAUGGAAGAACACCAGUGGCGAAGGCGGCUGUCUGGUCUGUAACUGACGCUGAGGCUCGAAAGCAUGGGUAGCGAACAGGAUUAGAUACCCUGGUAGUCCAUGCCGUAAACGAUGAAUGCUAGGUGUUGGAGGGUUUCCGCCCUUCAGUGCCGCAGCUAACGCAUUAAGCAUUCCGCCUGGGGAGUACGACCGCAAGGUUGAAACUCAAAGGAAUUGACGGGGGCCCGCACAAG